GACAGAGGGUGCAAACGUUGUUCGGAAUUACUGGGCGUAAAGCGCGUGUAGGCGGCCAUCUAAGUCGGGCGUGAAAUCCCACGGCUCAACCGUGGAAGUGCACUCGAAACUGCAUAGCUAGAGUCCUGGAGAGGAAGGUGGAAUGCUUGGUGUAGAGGUGAAAUUCGUAGAUAUCAAGCGGAACACCGGUGGCGAAGGCGGCCUUCUGGACAGUGACUGACGCUGAGACGCGAAAGCGUGGGUAGCAAACAGG
This 253-nucleotide ribosomal RNA is filed under the name uncultured bacterium. RNAcentral's name for it is "partial 16S ribosomal RNA". It matches the Rfam family "Bacterial small subunit ribosomal RNA", at positions 524 to 776 of the family's 1533-position model. The record is from RNAcentral.